UCGACGGGAAGCCACGCUGAUGCGAUUUCGGUCAAUCAUGUGGCAUUCGAGUGGCGGACGGGUGAGUAACGCGUGGGUAACCUGCCUUACACAGGGGGAUAACACCUGGAAACAGGUGCUAAUACCGCAUAAGCGCACAGGGCCGCAUGGCCCGGUGUGAAAAACUCCGGUGGUGUAAGAUGGACCCGCGUCUGAUUAGCUUGUUGGCGGGGUAGGGGCCCACCAAGGCGACGAUCAGUAGCCGGCCUGAGAGGGUGGACGGCCACAUUGGGACUGAGACACGGCCCAAACUCCUACGGGAGGCAGCAGUGGGGGAUAUUGGACAAUGGGGGAAACCCUGAUCCAGCGACGCCGCGUGAGUGAAGAAGUAUUUCGGUAUGUAAAGCUCUGUCAGCAGGGAAGAAAGAAAUGACGGUACCUGACCAAGAAGCCCCGGCUAACUACGUGCCAGCAGCCGCGGUAAUACGUAGGGGGCAAGCGUUAUCCGGAAUUACUGGGUGUAAAGGGAGCGUAGACGGUGAUGCAAAUCUGGAGUGAAAGGCGGGGGCCCAACCCCCGGACUGCUCUGGAAACUGUGUAACUUGAGUGCAGGAGAGGUAAGCGGAAUUCCUAGUGUAGCGGUGAAAUGCGUAGAUAUUAGGAGGAACACCAGUGGCGAAGGCGGCUUACUGGACUGUAACUGACGUUGAGGCUCGAAAGCGUGGGGAGCAAACAGGAUUAGAUACCCUGGUAGUCCACGCCGUANACGAUGAUUACU
RNAcentral lists this ribosomal RNA (757 nucleotides) under uncultured bacterium. RNAcentral describes it as "bacterial SSU rRNA". It matches the Rfam family "Bacterial small subunit ribosomal RNA", at positions 62 to 817 of the family's 1533-position model. The record is from RNAcentral.